Molecule: long non-coding RNA, 505 nt
Filed under: Elaeis guineensis (African oil palm)
Lineage: Eukaryota; Viridiplantae; Streptophyta; Magnoliopsida; Arecales; Arecaceae
Description: long non-coding RNA (EGUI_LNC019474)
Source: RNAcentral
AAUAAAUUUGUUUUUGGUCCACCAAACUGAGGCGACUUAACGAUGGAUCGAGAAUUCGAUGUCCGUCCUUCCAAUCCUCCUUAUCUCGCCUGCGAUGGUCCUUUCGCCGGCGGUCGGCCAUAGAACCUCGCCUGGUUGCAGCCCUAGGUUGAUGGAAGGUGGAGAUCCCCUCCUUGAGAAGCCCCAUUUCCGUAUCCUCUUCUAGACCGUAAUCCAGCUCUCUUCUUUUUUCCUCUACUUUUUCUUUUCCUUAUUUUUUGUUCGAUUUACCGGAAGAGAGACUGGGCAAAGCCUCGUCUGGUUCCGAUAUGGAGUAUUUCAUUCCAGAAGGUGAGUUUUAAGUUUUUUUAAAAUCUUUUUUCCUAUUUGAAUCCACUUCUUUAAUAUAAAAAAUCCUCUUUUUUUUUAUUCGGUUGGUUGCAGGAUCUAUAGAUCGGAGAGCAGGAAUCUGAGUGGCAGAGCCAAGAUUUCUUCCCAUUUCUAGCUAUUUUUGAUACAUCAAAUU